This 74-nucleotide transfer RNA is filed under the name Candidatus Nasuia deltocephalincola. Its description in RNAcentral is "Candidatus Nasuia deltocephalinicola tRNA". It matches the Rfam family "tRNA". Rfam says of the family: Transfer RNA (tRNA) molecules are approximately 80 nucleotides in length. Their secondary structure includes four short double-helical elements and three loops (D, anti-codon, and T loops). Lineage: Bacteria; Pseudomonadati; Pseudomonadota; Betaproteobacteria. The record is from Rfam by way of RNAcentral.
CGGAGUGUGGCGUAGUGGUUAAACGUACCUGAUUUGGGAUCAGGUGAUCAUAAGUUCAAAUCUUAUCACUCCGA